Molecule: ribosomal RNA, 460 nt
Filed under: uncultured bacterium
Lineage: Bacteria
Description: partial 16S ribosomal RNA
Rfam family: Bacterial small subunit ribosomal RNA
Source: RNAcentral
CCUACGGGCGGCAGCAGUGAGGAAUAUUGGUCAAUGGCCGUAAGGCUGAACCAGCCAAGUCGCGUGAAGGAAGAAGGAUCUAUGGUUUGUAAACUUCUUUUAUAGGGGAAUAAAGGUAUCCACGUGUGGAUAUUUGCAUGUACCCUAUGAAUAAGCAUCGGCUAACUCCGUGCCAGCAGCCGCGGUAAUACGGAGGAUGCGAGCGUUAUCCGGAUUUAUUGGGUUUAAAGGGUGCGUAGGUUGCUUUUUAAGUCAGCGGUGAAAGUUUGUGGCUCAACCAUAAAAUUGCCGUUGAAACUGGAAGACUUGAGUGUGUUUGAGGUAGGCGGAAUGCGUGGUGUAGCGGUGAAAUGCAUAGAUAUCACGCAGAACUCCGAUUGCGAAGGCAGCUUACUAAGACAUAACUGACACUGAAGCACGAAAGCGUGGGGAGCAAACAGGAUUAGAUACCCUUGUAGUC